Molecule: ribosomal RNA, 375 nt
Filed under: uncultured eukaryote
Lineage: Eukaryota
Description: partial 18S ribosomal RNA
Rfam family: Eukaryotic small subunit ribosomal RNA
Source: RNAcentral
CAAUAGCGUAUAUUUAAGUUGUUGCAGUUAAAAAGCUCGUAGUUGGAUUUCGGUUAAGAGCGACCGGUCCGCCGUUUGGUGUGCACUGGUUGGUUUUAACUUCCUGUAGAGGACGUGCUCUGGGUUUAACGACCUGGACUCGGAGUCUACGUGGUUACUUUGAAAAAAUUAGAGUGUUCAAAGCGGGCUUACGCUUGAAUAUCUCAGCAUGGAAUAACACUAUAGGACUCCUGUCCUAUUUCGUUGGUCUCGGGACGGGAGUAAUGAUUAAGAGGAACAGUUGGGGGCAUUCGCAUUUCAUUGUCAGAGGUGAAAUUCUCGGAUUUAUGAAAGACGAACUUCUGCGAAAGCAUUUGCCAAGGAUGUUUNCAUUAA